CAGGAAAACAGAUCCCUGCAUCCCUUUGCCUCCCCGGAGCCCUGGCAGAGGGUAAGAAUGGGGUAAGAAUAGCCUACCUGUUGCUGGUCCCAAGUCCAAGCUGGAUUCGUUGAGCUCUCCCCCAUCUUCCCAGAAGUACUGUGGAGGCUGUAAAAUCUUGGACUCCUCAUUUUCCUCGCUGGCAAAGCCUGAUCCUGGGGCAGCAUGCAGAGAGCCAGGGAUGAGAUCAGGCUCUGCAGUCUCGGGGCUCGUCUGCUCAUGGGAAUUCAUUGCCUCUAGGUGGGACAUAACAGCAAAUUCCAGCAGGGAAGUUGAAGUGAGGCCAUCAGUGGUCGGUUCCUCCGAGGAGGCAAGGCAGAGGCACAAAGUUCCGGUAGCCAGGAGGAGCGGCAGCAACGCCGGGGCCCGGUGCAACGGCUGCAUGGCGGCGGCCGCUGCCCUGCCGCGCCGCCUCUUCACGGGGAGCGGGGCCGCCCCGCAGCCCGCCGGGCUCUGCCCCUCGCCGCCGCCGCGCCCGCCCGCCGCCCGGCCCCGCGCU
Molecule: long non-coding RNA, 538 nt
Filed under: Gallus gallus (chicken)
Lineage: Eukaryota; Metazoa; Chordata; Aves; Galliformes; Phasianidae
Source: RNAcentral